RNAcentral lists this transfer RNA (96 nucleotides) under Roseateles sp. RNAcentral's name for it is "tRNA-Sec". It matches the Rfam family "Selenocysteine transfer RNA". The record is from RNAcentral. Lineage: Bacteria; Pseudomonadati; Pseudomonadota; Betaproteobacteria; Burkholderiales; Sphaerotilaceae. RNAcentral also lists the same sequence under 6 other names.
GGAGAGGCAACGACCCCGGUGGAUCGGCCGGACUUCAAAUCCGGUGAAUGGCGCCAUGCGCCGUUGGGUGGGUUCGACCCCCACGCCCCUCCGCCA